UGAGGAAUAUUGGUCAAUGGGCGCAAGCCUGAACCAGCCAUCCCGCGUGCAGGAAGACGGCCCUAUGGGUUGUAAACUGCUUUUCCGAAAGGCGAAACUCAGCGACGUGUCGUUGAUUGACGGUAUUUUGGGAAUAAGCAUCGGCUAACUCCGUGCCAGCAGCCGCGGUAAUACGGAGGAUGCAAGCGUUAUCCGGAUUCAUUGGGUUUAAAGGGUGCGUAGGCGGACUAAUAAGUCAGUGGUGAAAUCCUGCAGCUUAACUGCAGAACUGCCGUUGAUACUGUUAGUCUUGAGUUUGGUUAAGGUAGGCGGAAUGUGUAAUGUAGCGGUGAAAUGCUUAGAUAUUACACAGAACACCGAUUGCGUAGGCAGCUUACUGGACCGACACUGACGCUGAGGCACGAAAGCGUGGGGAUCGAACA
This 422-nucleotide ribosomal RNA is filed under the name uncultured Bacteroidota bacterium. RNAcentral's name for it is "bacterial SSU rRNA". It matches the Rfam family "Bacterial small subunit ribosomal RNA", at positions 355 to 774 of the family's 1533-position model. Lineage: Bacteria; Pseudomonadati; Bacteroidota. The record is from RNAcentral.